UACGGAAGGCAGCAGUGGGGAAUAUUGGACAAUGGGCGCAAGCCUGAUCCAGCCAUACCGCGUGGGUGAAGAAGGCCUUCGGGUUGUAAAGCCCUUUUGUUGGGAAAGAAAUCCAGCUGGUUAAUACCCGGUUGGGAUGACGGUACCCAAAGAAUAAGCACCGGCUAACUUCGUGCCAGCAGCCGCGGUAAUACGAAGGGUGCAAGCGUUACUCGGAAUUACUGGGCGUAAAGCGUGCGUAGGUGGUCGUUUUAAGUCCGUUGUGAAAGCCCUGGGCUCAACCUGGGAACUGCAGUGGAUACUGGGCGACUGAAAUGUGGUAGAGGGUAGCGGAAUUCCUGGUGUAGCAGUGAAAUGCGUAGAGAUCAGGAGGAACAUCCAUGGCGAAGGCAGCUACCUGGACCAACAUUGACACUGAGGCACGAAAGCUGGGGAGCAAACAGGGAUUAGAUACC
RNAcentral lists this ribosomal RNA (455 nucleotides) under uncultured bacterium. RNAcentral describes it as "bacterial SSU rRNA". It matches the Rfam family "Bacterial small subunit ribosomal RNA", at positions 340 to 786 of the family's 1533-position model. The record is from RNAcentral.